This 510-nucleotide ribosomal RNA is filed under the name uncultured bacterium. Its description in RNAcentral is "bacterial SSU rRNA". It matches the Rfam family "Bacterial small subunit ribosomal RNA", at positions 28 to 526 of the family's 1533-position model. The record is from RNAcentral.
GAUGAACGCUAGCGGCAGGCCUAACACAUGCAAGUCGAGGGGCAUCAGGAACAAUAGCAAUAUUGUUUGCUGGCGACCGGCGCACGGGUGCGUAACACGUAUGCAACCUACCUCAUACAGGGGCAUAGCCCAGAGAAAUCUGGAUUAAUUCCCCAUAAUAUAUAGAUAAGGCAUCUUAUUUAUAUUAAAGUUUCGGCGGUAUGAUAUGGGCAUGCGUCCAAUUAGCUAGUUGGUGAGGUAAAGGCUCACCAAGGCUACGAUUGGUAGGGGGUCUGAGAGGAUGAUCCCCCACACUGGUACUGAGACACGGACCAGACUCCUACGGGAGGCAGCAGUGAGGAAUAUUGCGCAAUGGAGGAAACUCUGACGCAGCCAUGCCGCGUGAAGGAUUGAAUGCCCUAUGGGUUGUAAACUUCUUUUGUACGGGAAUAAACCCUUGCUCGUGAGCGAGGUUGAAGGUACCGUAAGAAUAAGCACCGGCUAACUCCGUGCCAGCCGCCGCCGUAACAC